AAGUCGUAACAAGGUUUCCGUAGGUGAACCUGCGGAAGGAUCAUUAACACGUAUCCAACGUUAAACAACCCUGUGAACUUUCAGACGCUCUUGUAGCCCAGGCGGAACAGCAAUCCCGGUAAAUCAAUGGCGGAAAAGUUUUGAUUCGGGACCUCUGUCCAAUUAGUUACAAUCGAGCUAGGAGCAGUGGCAUGGUUUCCCUAAGCAGUGCAGAAGGAUCCACUGAGUAAGGAUAACGCAUCACGGUUGCUAGAGGUCGAUCACCGGCCGGCAGACAUGUCACAGGGCUACCCACCGGAAACGCUGGGCACAAAAACCGAACAACUGUUAACAAUGGAUAUCUUGGUUCUC
This 351-nucleotide unclassified non-coding RNA is filed under the name fungal sp. Its description in RNAcentral is "partial internal transcribed spacer region". The stretch from base 1 to 46 matches the Rfam family "Eukaryotic small subunit ribosomal RNA", at positions 1786 to 1831 of the family's 1831-position model. The record is from RNAcentral. Lineage: Eukaryota; Fungi.